GGUUACUGCUAUCGGUGUUCGCCUAAGCCAUGCGAGUCGUAUGUUCUUCGGAACAUGGCGUACUGCUCAGUAACACGUGGAUAACCUGCCCUUGGGUCCGGCAUAACCCCGGGAAACUGGGGAUAAUUCCGGAUAACGCACAUAUGCUGGAAUGCUUUAUGCGUCAAAUGGAUUCGUCCGCCCAAGGAUGGGUCUGCGGCCUAUCAGGUAGUAGUGGGUGUAAUGUACCUACUAGCCUACGACGGGUACGGGUUGUGAGAGCAAGAGCCCGGAGAUGGAUUCUGAGACAUGAAUCCAGGCCCUACGGGGCGCAGCAGGCGCGAAAACUUUACAAUGCGGGAAACCGUGAUAAGGGGACACCGAGUGCCAGCAUCAUAUGUUGGCUGUCCGGGUGUGUAAAAUACACCUGUUAGCAAGGGCCGGGCAAGACCGGUGCCAGCCGCCGCGGUAACACCGGCGGCCCGAGUGGUGAUCGUGAUUAUUGGGUCUAAAGGGUCCGUAGCCGGUUUGGUCAGUCCUCCGGGAAAUCUGACGGCUUAACCGUUAGGCUUUCGGGGGAUACUGCCAGACUUGGAACCGGGAGAGGUAAGAGGUACUACAGGGGUAGGAGUGAAAUCUUGUAAUCCCUGUGGGACCACCUGUGGCGAAGGCGUCUUACCAGAACGGGUUCGACGGUGAGGGACGAAAGCUGGGGGCACGAACCGGAUUAGAUACCCGGGUAGUCCCAGCCGUAAACGAUGCUCGCUAGGUGUCAGGCAUGGCGCGACCGUGUCUGGUGUCGCAGGGAAGCCGUGAAGCGAGCCACCUGGGAAGUACGGCCGCAAGGCUGAAACUUAA
This 837-nucleotide ribosomal RNA is filed under the name uncultured archaeon. RNAcentral describes it as "bacterial SSU rRNA". It matches the Rfam family "Archaeal small subunit ribosomal RNA", at positions 21 to 859 of the family's 1478-position model. The record is from RNAcentral.